RNAcentral lists this ribosomal RNA (253 nucleotides) under uncultured bacterium. RNAcentral describes it as "partial 16S ribosomal RNA". It matches the Rfam family "Bacterial small subunit ribosomal RNA", at positions 524 to 776 of the family's 1533-position model. The record is from RNAcentral.
CACGUAGGGGGCGAGCGUUGUUCGGAAUUACUGGGCGUAAAGGGCAUGUAGGCGGUCUGGUAAGCCUGGCGUGAAAGACUGCAGCUUAACUGCAGGGAUGCGCUGGGAACUGCUGGGCUUGAGUGACGGAGAGGGAGCUGGAAUUCCUGGUGUAGGGGUGAAAUCUGUAGAUAUCAGGAAGAACACCGAUGGCGAAGGCAAGCUCCUGGCCGAUGACUGACGCUGAGGUGCGAAAGUGUGGGGAUCAAACAGG